Transfer RNA from Virgibacillus sp. SK37, 89 nucleotides. It matches the Rfam family "tRNA". Rfam says of the family: Transfer RNA (tRNA) molecules are approximately 80 nucleotides in length. Their secondary structure includes four short double-helical elements and three loops (D, anti-codon, and T loops). Further hydrogen bonds mediate the characteristic L-shaped molecular structure. tRNAs have two regions of fundamental functional importance: the anti-codon, which is responsible for specific mRNA codon recognition, and the 3' end, to which the tRNAs corresponding amino acid is attached (by aminoacyl-tRNA synthetases). tRNAs cope with the degeneracy of the genetic code in two manners: having more than one tRNA (with a specific anti-codon) for a particular amino acid; and 'wobble' base-pairing, i.e. permitting non-standard base-pairing at the 3rd anti-codon position. The record is from Rfam. NCBI's taxonomy places the organism in Bacteria, Bacillati, Bacillota, Bacilli, Caryophanales, Bacillaceae.
GGAGAGCUGUCCGAGUGGCCGAAGGAGCACGAUUGGAAAUCGUGUAGGCCGUUACCGCGGCCUCGAGGGUUCGAAUCCCUCGCUCUCCG